This 274-nucleotide ribosomal RNA is filed under the name Babesia sp. EM-2016. RNAcentral's name for it is "partial 18S ribosomal RNA". It matches the Rfam family "Eukaryotic small subunit ribosomal RNA", at positions 519 to 810 of the family's 1831-position model. The record is from RNAcentral. Lineage: Eukaryota; Apicomplexa; Aconoidasida; Piroplasmida; Babesiidae.
GGUGACCUAAACCCUCACCAGAGUAACAAUUGGAGGGCAAGUCUGGUGCCAGCAGCCGCGGUAAUUCCAGCUCCAAUAGCGUAUAUUAAACUUGUUGCAGUUAAAAAGCUCGUAGUUGAACUUCUGCUGCCCGGCAUUCGGCCCGCUUCGGCGGGUGUCGCUUGCCUGGUGGCUUUUUCCUGGUGGGCGCGGGCCUCCGCCCGUGUUUUCCGGGGGUUUACUUUGAGAAAAUUAGAGUGUUUCAAGCAGACUUUUGUCUUGAAUACUUCAGCAU